This 460-nucleotide ribosomal RNA is filed under the name uncultured bacterium. RNAcentral's name for it is "partial 16S ribosomal RNA". It matches the Rfam family "Bacterial small subunit ribosomal RNA", at positions 338 to 795 of the family's 1533-position model. The record is from RNAcentral.
CCUACGGGAGGCAGCAGUGAGGAAUAUUGGUCAAUGGACGAGAGUCUGAACCAGCCAAGUAGCGUGAAGGAUGACUGCCCUAUGGGUUGUAAACUUCUUUUAUAUGGGAAUAAAACGUUCCACGUGUGGGAUUUUGUAUGUACCAUAUGAAUAAGGAUCGGCUAACUCCGUGCCAGCAGCCGCGGUAAUACGGAGAAUCCGAGCGUUAUCCGGAUUUAUUGGGUUUAAAGGGAGCGUAGGUGGAUUGUUAAGUCAGUUGUGAAAGUUUGCGGCUCAACCGUAAAAUUGCAGUUGAAACUGGCAGUCUUGAGUACAGUAGAGGUGGGCGGAAUUCGUGGUGUAGCGGUGAAAUGCUUAGAUAUCACGAAGAACUCCGAUUGCGAAGGCAGUUCACUGGACUGCAACUGACACUGAGGCUCGAAAGUGUGGGUAUCAAACAGGAUUAGAUAUCCUUGUAGUC